This 1020-nucleotide long non-coding RNA is filed under the name Vulpes vulpes (red fox). RNAcentral's name for it is "lncRNA (ENSVVUG00000019694.1)". The record is from RNAcentral. Lineage: Eukaryota; Metazoa; Chordata; Mammalia; Carnivora; Canidae.
AUGACCCCACUCGCACCCUUGGGCCGUCCAGCCGUCGGGGGUGGGGGGUUCCUGGGCAGGAGGCGUCUCCCCGGAGUCGCUGCCCAGAACUCGGGAGUAGGGGGAGAGGGGACGCCGGCGGGGCCCCGGGGUGACGUCGAGGGGGCAGCCCCACUGCCGCUGGUGGCGAGGCGAGGCGGCUGCGCUCCCGGCGACUCUCCCCGUGGCACACUGUCGCCGCGCCCCCUGGCGGACGACGCUGGUCCCCGACGGGCUCCGGACGCGAGGAGGAGUGAGGCGGGCGCGCGUGGGAGGGCGUCCCAAGGGGAGGGGUCGGCGGCCAGUGCAGGCCCGGAGGCGGGAGCCACCGGGCAGGGGGCGGGGGUGAGCCCCGACGGCCAGCCCGUCAGCUCUCGCCUCAGACGGGCGGGAGCCACGGCCCCGCUCGCUGCCCAUUGUCUGCGCCCCCGACCGGUGCGCCCUGGUGCCACAGUGCGGCCCGGCGGGGCGGCCUCCCCGCGUCACUUCAGCCAGCGCCGCAACUAUAAGAGGCGGUGCCGCCCGCCGUGGCUGCCUCAGCCCACCAGCUGGGACCGCGAGCCAUGCUGCCCGCCGCCCGCCCCCGGGGCUGGUAGAGCCAGACUGCGAACUCUCGCCGCCGCCGCCGCCGCGUCCCGUCCCACCGUCGCGGGCGGCAGCCAAGGCCGCCCCACUCCAGCGCAGAGCGGGCGAGGCCGGGCAGGCCAUGGGGCACUGGGCGCUGCUGCCCGGCGGGGUUUCUGCUGCGCUCUUGCUGGCGCUGGCCGCUCUGCCCGCAGCCCUGGCCGCCAACAGCAGCGGCCGAUGGUGGUAAGUGAGCUGGUGCGGGGUCGCCGCCGGUGCCGGGGCGCAGAGCCAGGGGCCAGCCCCAGCCAGCUCCCACGCUCCGGGAUCCGUCCGCAGACAGGCUCCCUCCACCGCACUGACUUCCCUCCGAGACGCUCUGGGGCGCUCUGGGGCGGAGCUGCUCCCGGGAAAUCUAGUUCCGACGAGGUGGGGUGA